AGUGAACGCUGGCGGUAGGCCUAACACAUGCAAGUCGAACGGCAGCACAGUAAGAGCUUGCUCUUACGGGUGGCGAGUGGCGGACGGGUAAGGAAUACAUCGGAAUCUACUUUUUCGUGGGGGAUAACGUAGGGAAACUUACGCUAAUACCGCAUACGACCUACGGGUGAAAGCAGGGGAUCUUCGGACCUUGCGCGAUUGAAUGAGCCGAUGUCGGAUUAGCUAGUUGGCGGGGUAAAGGCCCACCAAGGCGACGAUCCGUAGCUGGUCUGAGAGGAUGAUCAGCCACACUGGAACUGAGACACGGUCCAGACUCCUACGGGAGGCAGCAGUGGGGAAUAUUGGAGAAUGGGCGCAAGCCUGAUCCAGCCAUACCGCGUGGGUGAAGAAGGCCUUCGGGUUGUAAAGCCCUUUUGUUGGGAAAGAAAAGCAGCAGGUUAAUACCCCGCUGUUCUGACGGUACCCAAAGAAUAAGCACCGGCUAACUUCGUG
RNAcentral lists this ribosomal RNA (492 nucleotides) under uncultured bacterium. RNAcentral describes it as "partial 16S ribosomal RNA". It matches the Rfam family "Bacterial small subunit ribosomal RNA", at positions 29 to 507 of the family's 1533-position model. The record is from RNAcentral.